GCCUCAGACAUCAGCAAAACUUAACUUACAGUACUUCUUUUUCCACCAUACUUCAUAUUAAUUAUCAUAUAUUCUGUGUAUGGUAUUAUUACUACGUUAUUUAUUUAUUUAUGUAUGUCAUUUUCACCUAGCACCCAUAUUAUUAUAUUCUGCAAUGCGAUUUACAGAUUUUGUUCACUGCACUUUGUUUCAAGUCAUUAAAUCCUUCUGAUUGGUUUAUUUUUAUCACAUGAUAUCUAUAAUUGUUUUAAAUACAAUUUUAGACAUAAUUGAAAGCAGCUCAGGUUAAAAAUGGAACUGCAGGCCCUGCAGUUCUGGAGCAGUGCUGAGAGUGCUCUGACCACAAAGCUAUACAGAGUCGAGUGCAUAACAAUGAGGCAAAAAAGCUUCUGGUCAAAUCGGUUGCGAAUCUCACUUCCAUACUUGAUUAGGUUCAGAAUCUGAACCUUUGUGUGUGAUUUGGCUGUUUGUAAAAACAUAUGUCAAACCGUUUUGGAAAAUAUAAAAAAUUUAUAUACAUUAUUAAUUAAUUAAAAUCAUUGCUAAAUUGAGCAGUUCAAUGUUUGUUUAUUUUACACAGCCAAUUGCAUAGGAGGUUCAGUUCCUGAACCUAAUCAUAUAUGGAAGUGAGAUUCACAAACGGUUUGAGGCUCUUUCACCAAAUUGUUAUUUCGCCUUACCAUUAUUUUCCCUUGCCAUUCUUCAAGAGCCUCUCAAACCAGGGUAUGAGCAACCCAAGUUUGAGCCACAAGUUGAAUUGCUUACAUAUCGAGUCACAAGUCAAGUUAUUUCAUUGUAUGAUCAAGUUGGGUCUUGUCAAUUGCUACAAUCAAGUUGAGUCAAAUCUAAUAGGCUCCACUCAAGUUGAGUCACUACCUGAACUUGAAUUGAGUCAGGGGAUUUGAUCAAGUCCAGCACCACACUUCAGGUACCCUGCUUGCAAUCUGGGAAAAUAGUAAUCAAUCAAAUCCACAGCAAUGUCUAGGCAGGAAGCUGGUCCCAAUAUUGCCGCUCUACUCUGAAAUCAUAUGUUCCAACUGGAACCAGAAAUCAGACAAUUGAUAUCAUGAAGAAUUUUUAUUUUUUCAUUUCAAGUUCCUUUACCCAUUAAGUGUCAGCACUCUCUCCC
Non-coding RNA from Paramuricea clavata, 1129 nucleotides. Lineage: Eukaryota; Metazoa; Cnidaria; Anthozoa; Malacalcyonacea; Plexauridae. The record is from the annotation of a GenBank genome assembly.